ACUUAAAUAAUUUAAUUAAAAUAUUGAUUUGUGGAAUCAAAAAUAUGAAAUCAAUCAUUUUAGGUU
This 66-nucleotide transfer RNA is filed under the name Charaxes kahruba. Its description in RNAcentral is "tRNA-His". The record is from RNAcentral. Lineage: Eukaryota; Metazoa; Arthropoda; Insecta; Lepidoptera; Nymphalidae.